RNAcentral lists this long non-coding RNA (6971 nucleotides) under Sus scrofa (pig). Its description in RNAcentral is "lncRNA (ENSSSCG00005003752.1)". Lineage: Eukaryota; Metazoa; Chordata; Mammalia; Artiodactyla; Suidae. The record is from RNAcentral.
UUUUUUUUUUUUUUUUUUUUUUUUUUUCUUUUUCCUUUGCCUGCCUCUCAUUUGCAUUGAGUUGGCCCUUUUACUGCUCAGAAAGAAAGGAUGGCUUCAGGCAAGACCUGAUUUUGUCCCCCUUUUAGCUUUUUGAGUCGGUGCAAUCUCUACUAAGGUGGCUUUAAAAAUCAAUCAUUCGCUCGGUCCUGUGAAACUCUUACCUGGCAGGUUCCCAGUCUGUCUUUGGCCAAGUUGAUGAUUAGAGGAGGAAAAAUGAUCACAAAAUCAGCGUCUGAAAAGUAUUCUCAGUGGCUUUGAGACAAAGAGCAAAGUUGCUGAGCGGGCAUAUCAAGUGAUAACUUGGAAAAGCCCGCAGAGAGGUGUGCUUUUGGCCUCUGAUAUUGGUCUCUGUGAAAGGCAGUCUCUGGCUCUGCCUGGGUUGUUAUUACAUUUAAAAGAUGAUAAAAUAUAGUUGGAAAGGCGUAUGGGGAAAAGCAUAGGUAUAUCUCAGGUAUAGAGCGGGUUUCACAGGCCGGCAAAGCUACAAAAAGGGGGAAAAGCGUUGAUGCUACAAUUACCUUUUUUGUGAUUAAGUCUCUUUAAGAGACAAAGUUGGGAACAUAACAUGAUUGGUUAGGAUGUUUAAAUAUCUUGUUUCAACCUUUUUUUUUUUUUUUAAACCUGUUUAUCACUUUCAUUGGAGCUAUUCUGGGGCUAAAAAUAAGGGUUGCCUGCUUAGUAAGUUGCCAAUAAUUAUGCUUCGAGCAUGACGAUGCUAGCUACCUGGGGUGAAGGAGUUACUAAAAAUACAAUUUACUAUGUUUUCCAGAGCAGGAAAUAUGACUAAUUUUAGAGGUGGCCUUUUGGCAGCUCUGUUUUUAGCAAGUGUUACUGAAACAAACAGGUGCUAAAUCCUGUUUUUUUUUUUUUUUUUUUCAGUGCUAGAAAUUUAGGGGGAAUAGAAGAACAAGAAAUGCUUAGGGAACUGGCCCGUUCCCUUAAUCCUCGGCAGGGAUUUCUUGGCAAGCAGAGGCAUUUGGCAAAAGCACCUGCUCAGUAUGUCGCGCGUGACAAGGCAGUGCCUAUAAUUUCUGAGAUUGCACGCUGCAGUUCGCAGGCACAGUCUUUUUGAACUUCCUGCCCUGCCUCAUCUUUUUGAAGUCCUUGUGAAUGAUGGAAAUUGGCAGUUAGAGCUCGCUUCUCAGGGUUCAUUGAUACGCAGGCCCCGGGGACUUCAAAGGUGCUUUGAGUUGGCACAACAGGGCUGAGUGGUACCCACGAAGAGGAGUACAACCCUAAAUUUUCUCUGUGGGUGUGGAGUCACCGGCACAGGCGGGGCUCAACUACAGCGCACGGCACGCCGCCCGCUGUUCCCAAGGGCACCAUGGCCAUCAUCGUCCCAGAAGGUGUGGGGAGUGGCAGCUGUGUCUGCCCGGAGGGAGAGGCACAGGCUGGGUGUCCUCUGCAGGAAGGUGGCUCGGGUGCAAAGUAUCAUUUACCUGGGGACCUACAUCCCCGUCUUGAUUAUUGAAGGUAACGGAGCCACCUGCUCUCUUGGCUAAUUGAAACCUGUAGAUAACCCCUGAGCCUUAUUUUUAGCAAACUAGUGAAACCUCUUCCUCCCUUCUGCCUGGGCUCUGGUCACUUUGAAGUGCUGACCUGAACUGAUCACGCCACCUGAUGGGAUGCUGCUGGUUCAUAGGAUGACCAGCGGGAAAGGAGUGAACCCCGGGGGCCCUCAAUAGUUGUGGAGGAGGCAGAUACUUCUGCAAAGGUAUGGAGAGCGCUCACCUCUCCUUCCUCCUAAAUACCAGCUCAGUGGUGUAGCGCUUUGUGGUGCGUUCAGGGACUUUGAUGCAUUUUCUCAUUAGAUGCUAGAAGCUGCCCUGGGCAGGUGGUAUCCUUCCCUGUGUUGAAUGCGUGCAGGUAUGCUCUGGGUAGAUUUUUUUGCCUCUGACCCUCUCUCCUCUGUUGCUAGGGCUGCCCUCACAAAUGACCACAAACUGGGUGGCUUAAAAGAACAGAAUGCAUAUGCUCUUAGACUUCUGGAAGCCAGAAGUCCAAAAUCAAGGUAUUGGCAGAGACUCUGAAAGCUCUAGGGGAGGGUCCUUCCAGCCUCUUCCAGCCUAUGGUGCAUCCCUCGGUGUGUAGCUGGCACACCCCAAUCUCUGCCUUGUCUCCAUGUGGCCUCCUUCCCGCCAUGCAUCGUCUGUGUCUCCAAGUCUCCCUCUCCUUAUAAGGUCACCUGUCAUUGGACAUAGGGUCAACCCUAAUCUAAGAGGAACUCAUCUUGCUGAGAUCUCUAAGGACUCUAUUUACCAAGAGGCCACGUUCCCAGGGACCCAGGGGUUGGGACGUGAACAUAGCAUCUUUGCAGGACACAGUCCAACCCUCAACACCUUUGUAGAGUGUUAGAACUGUGUUGUAGGUGAUUUUCUGGAAAGCAGACCUUGAGAAGGGGGAAAUGUGGUCUUAGGGCAUAGACUGAGGAACAAAACCAGUGAGGGGAAGAGAGGCGAAGGGAAGGGCAGGCAGCAGGGGGCAGAGGGAGAAGUUGGGCCCCCGAUGCAGGACCAGCUGAAGUUACCCCCACCCCCCCACCCCCUAGUGCCCGCUAUGCUUCAGAGCUGAGCUGUCCAAACUGGGCUUUAUAUCUUUUUUCUUUAAUUUAUUUUUACAAUCACACCUGCAGCAUAUGGAAGUUCCCACAGCCAUGGCGACACCGGGAUCUGAGUGGCAUCUUUGACCUACGCUGCAGCUUGCAGCAACGCCAGAUCCUAACCCAAUGAAUGAGGCCAGGGAUCAAACUUGCAUCCUCAUGGAGACAGUGUCAGGUCCUUAACCCACUGAGCUACAAUGGGAACUCCCUGGGCUUUAUAUCUUUAUUUUUUGCCCCCCUCCCCCCGGACUUACGGAGUUCCUAGGCCAGGGAUUGGAUCUGAGCCGCAUUUGUGACCCAUGUUGCUGCCGCAGCAAUGCUGGAUAGUUUAACCUACCAUACUGGGCAGGAUUGAGCCUGUGCCCUGGUGCUGCAGGGAUGCUGCCAGUCCUGUUGCAGCAUAGCAGGAACUCCAGUUUUAUAUCUUUGUAUCCACUGAGGGGUCCAGGUGGGGCAAGGGGACUGGGCUUUUGUACCUUUGGACCCGGCAUUGGAUGGGGGUGGCUCUGGGCAGGGGGCAUGGCCUCAGACCCAUGCUGGGGGUAGUUCCUGGGGCGAGCUCACAGCUGAGCAGCUGGGGAAGAAGUUCUUAACCCAGAAAGGGAAGAUAGGCAGUGCGGCUGGGCAUCCACUGCUUUCUGGGGGAGACAGGGCCAGAGUCCAGGGUCUUAGUCUGAGUCCAGGCUGGCUCCCUAACCUAAGUGGGCAGCAUCCCCGCCCCACCUUGCAGACCUAGUUUGCUGCUUCUCCACCUGAAAUGUGGAGAUAUUGGAAGUACCGUAUUUACUUAGCUAAUCCUUGAUGAGCGAGUCAGUGGAUGUUACAUAAAAAUUAAGCACAAUUAAGGAGUAGGGGAGUUCCUUGGUGGCCUAGAGGUUGGGGAUCUGACAUUGUCACUGCUGUGGCCUGGGUUUAAUUCCUGGCCCUGGCCCAGGAACUUUUGCAUGCCUAUGCAAAACAAACAAACAAACAAAAAAGGGCAUUUAGAUGGUAUACAAUUUUUUGUUAUUCCCAAAUUGUGCUGAAGUAAAUACCUACACCCGUUUGUCAUCUUGUAAAUGUUUCAGGCUUAUCUGAGGGAUAAGUUCCUAGCCUUAUGCAAAAGGGUAUCACUAACUGUUAGGGAUAUUGCCAAAUUGCCUGCCCUAGAGGUUGUCCCAGGUUUUACUUGCAUCACCCUGGGGUGGAGAUCUCUUGCCACAUCUUUGUCAAUAUAAGGCGUUCUCAGACUUUUUAUCUUUGCCAAUCUAGUGGAUUAAAGAUGGUAUUUUGUUUUAUGUGUAGUUUCUCAUAUUUAUAAGUGGAGUUGAGCAUAUUUUCAUAUGUCUGACAACAAUUUAUACUUCAUUUUUGUUACUUGUUCAUGUCCAUCCACCAUCUUCCCUUGGGUUUCUGGUCUUUUUCUUAUUGAUUUGCAGGCACUUUCUAUAUAUUAAGGCCAUCAGUCCUCUUUCAGUGAUAGGUUUUGAAGCCUUUUCCUUCUUGUCUGCUCCCCGUUUUAUCCUUUGUCUUUGUUUCUUGGUGGUUCUUGCCAUGGCAGAGGUUAUUUCCCUGGAUUCCACUACCUAGAAAGGAGCCAUAGAUGAGCUUUGCAGGUCCAUGAACCCUAUAAAUUCUAUGUGUAAAAUUAUGUUUCUGGGGCGAGGAUCCAUGACUUCAUCACAGUAUAAAGGGACUUAUUUACUCCCCAGAGGUGAAGAGCCACUGCUCUGUUGCCCAUUCCUGUCAGCAACGCUGUCUGGUUAGAGGUUUGUGUUGUUGGGAUGAGGAUUGGGUCACCUUGGUAUGUGAGCACCUGUGCUGAUCGGAUUUAGGUUGCAGAGUACACUCAGGCCAGGAUGUAGUUCUACGGCCACCCUGGGUCCUGCCUAGGUCACAGGGAAGGGGUAUAAUAGAGAGGAGACAUCUUUGGAAGACCUUGACUCUUUCUAGGAGUCAACUCUGAGUUGCGUCCCAUUGCUUCUUCAUGGGAAAGUUGAUAGGUUUAUGGGUGGUUGAGAAGAGAGAGAGAGAGGGAACAACUAGGGAAGUGAAAACCUUUUAAGGAGCAAUAGCCGCCACUUAACUUGGACACACAAUGCAUGGAGUCAGGUGUGAGCACACGUGUAAAAAUAUGCCUGGGACCCUCUGGGACUGUUUUGUCUACAAGAGAAGCCCUGGGGGGUGGGGAUGGGGCGAUACUGAUGGAGCAAACAAGUGGGCCUCUUUGGAAGCAUGGAGGUCAACAUGGGCUCACUCUGAUGACCUUUUUUUUUGUUGUUGUUGUUGUUGUUCUUUUUAUGGCCGAACCCCCAACAUAUGGAAGUUCCCAGAUUAGGGGUUGAAUUAGAGCUGCAGCUGCCAGCCUAUGGCAACCACAACAAUGCUAGAUCCUUAACCUCAUGCUCGAGGCCAGGGACUGAACGCACAUCCUCACGGAGACUAUGUGGGGUUCUUAACCCACUGAGCCACAACGGGAACUCCCCGAUGACCCUAUCUAUUGCUCCUGUCCCCUGUGACUUUCCGCCCCUGACCCUGCUCUGUCUUUCCUCAGAGCACGUCUCACCACCUGUAUUAGUUUGCUGCUGUAACAAGGUACCACCCCCUGGGUGGCUUAAACAGCAGAGGCUAUUGCCACGUGGUUCUGGAGACCAGAGGUCAACAUCAAGGUGUGGACAGGGUAGGUUCCUUCGAAGGGCUGUAGGGAAGGGUCUGUCUGCUCCAGGCCCUGCUCCAUGGUUUGUGGGUGUCUGUCUUCCUCCCGUGCCUGCUCACAUUGUUCCCUCUGUAUGUAUCUGUCUCUCUCUCUCUCUUUUUUUUUUUGUCUUUUCUAUGGCCGCACUCAUGGCAUAUGGAGGUUCCCAGGCUAGGGGUCUAAUCGGAGCUGUAGCCACUGGCCUACACCAGAGCCACAGCAACACGGGAUCCCAGCCGAGUCUGCAACCUAUACCACAGCUCAUAGCAACGCCGGAUCCUUAACCCACUGAGCAAGGCCAGGGAUCGAACCCACAACCUCAUGGUUCCUAGUCGGAUUCAUUAACCACUGCGCCACGAUGGGAACUCCUGUAUGCAUCUGUCUCUGUGUCUGCAUUUCUCCUUUCUAUGAGGACACCAGUCAUUUUGGAUUAGGGUCCAUCCCUAAUCCACUUUAACUCGAUGCUUCUGUCAAGAUCAUUAUUGCCAAGUAAGGUUACAUUUGAGGUCCUGGGGUUUAGGACGUACUAUGGUCUGAAUGUUUUGUCCCCUCAAAGGUCAUAUGUAGGGACCUAAUUCCCAACAUGAUGGUGUUAGGAGCUGAGGUCUUUGGGAGGUGAUUAGGCACGAGAGCAGUGUCCUUAUGAAUGGGAUUCGUGGUUUUAAAAAAGAAACCCCAGGUGUUCCCGUCAUGGCUCAGUGGUUACCAAACCUGGCUAGCAUUCAUGAGGAUGUGGGUUUGAUCCCUGGCCUUGCUCAGUGGGUUAAGGAUCCAGCGUCCAGCAUUGCCAUGAGCUGAGGUGUAGGUCGCAGACAAGGCUCAGAUCCUGCUUGGGUUUGGACCUAAAAAGAGACAAAAAGACCAAAAAAAAAAAAAAAAAAAAAAAAAGAGAGAGAGAGAGAGACCCCAGAAAGCUCCUUUGCUCCUUCCACUGUGCGAGAACACAGCUGUCUGUGAACCAGGGAGAGAACUCUCACCAGACACCAAAUCUGCUUUGACUUUGGACUUCCCAGCUUCCGGAACCGUGAGAGAGAAAUUUCUGUCAUUUAUAAGCCACCUAGCCUAUGCUAUGUGUUAUAGUAACCCAAAUGGACUGAGAUAGGACUUAAACACAUGAAUUUUGGGGAACUCCCUCCGUUCAACCCAUAAUAUCUCUUGACCCCAUGCUAUAUGUUUACAUGUUUAUAUGUUUGUUAUUUGUCUCCCCAGUGGACGGUAAGCCCCAUGGGGAAGGGAUCACUGCUCCAUCCUCAGUGGCUGGAAUAGUACCUAGUGUAGAGCAGGUGCUGAGUAAAUAUUUUUUGAAUGGAUCCAAGAAGACUUUGGUCUCCCCAGGACACGAGGACAGCCUUCUGGAUGACCGUGUCCCAGAUGGCUGGGGGAUGGUUUGAAAGCCCUGUCUUGGGAAUACCUGUUGUGGAUCAGCAGUAAUGAACCUGACUCUUAUCCAUGAGGAGGUGGGUUCGAUCCCUGGCCUCACUCAGUGGGUUAAACAUCCAGUGUUGCUGUGAGCUGUGGUGUAGGUUGCAGACAGGGCUUAGAUCCCAAGCUGCUGUGGCUGUGGCAUAGGCUAGCAGCUGCAGCUCCAAUUGGACCCCUAGCCUGGGAACUUCCAGAUGCCUCAGGUGCAGUCCUAAAAAAAAAGGAAAAAAAAAA